GAUGAACGCUGGCGGCGUGCCUAAUACAUGCAAGUCGAGCGAACAGAUGAGGAGCUUGCUCCUCUGACGUUAGCGGCGGACGGGUGAGUAACACGUGGAUAACCUACCUAUAAGACUGGGAUAACUUCGGGAAACCGGAGCUAAUACCGGAUAAUAUAUUGAACCGCAUGGUUCAAUAGUGAAAGACGGUUUUGCUGUCACUUAUAGAUGGAUCCGCGCCGCAUUAGCUAGUUGGUAAGGUAACGGCUUACCAAGGCAACGAUGCGUAGCCGACCUGAGAGAGGGAGCGGCCACACUGGAACUGAGACACGGUCCAGACUCCUACGGGAGGCAGCAGUAGGGAAUCUUCCGCAAUGGGCGAAAGCCUGACGGAGCAACGCCGCGUGAGUGAUGAAGGUCUUCGGAUCGUAAAACUCUGUUAUUAGGGAAGAACAAAUGUGUAAGUAACUAUGCACGUCUUGACGGUACCUAAUCAGAAAGCCACGGCUAACUACGUG
This 497-nucleotide ribosomal RNA is filed under the name uncultured bacterium. Its description in RNAcentral is "partial 16S ribosomal RNA". It matches the Rfam family "Bacterial small subunit ribosomal RNA", at positions 28 to 507 of the family's 1533-position model. The record is from RNAcentral.